CGAAAGCCUGACGGAGCAAUACCGCGUGGGGGAGGAAGGCUCUUGGGUCGUAAACCUCUUUUCUCAGGGAAGAACACAAUGACGGUACCUGAGGAAUAAGCAUCGGCUAACUCCGUGCCAGCAGCCGCGGUAAUACGGAGGAUGCAAGCGUUAUCCGGAUUUAUUGGGCGUAAAGCGUCCGCAGGUGGCAGUUCAAGUCUGCUGUCAAAGGUCGGGGCUCAACCCCGAACAGGCAGUGGAAACUGAACAGCUAGAGUACGGUAGGGGCAGAGGGAAUUCCCAGUGUAGCGGUGAAAUGCGUAGAGAUUGGGAAGAACACCGGUGGCGAAAGCGCUCUGCUAGGCCGAAACUGACACUCAUGGACGAAAGCUAGGGGAGCG
This 380-nucleotide ribosomal RNA is filed under the name uncultured cyanobacterium. RNAcentral's name for it is "bacterial SSU rRNA". It matches the Rfam family "Bacterial small subunit ribosomal RNA", at positions 376 to 770 of the family's 1533-position model. The record is from RNAcentral. Lineage: Bacteria; Bacillati; Cyanobacteriota.